GAAAGAAGGGAAGAAAAUACUGUUUUGUAUAUAGGAGCCAACUAAGAGAUCUCUGGAGUUCCAUAUUUCACAUCUGACAUUAUGAUUAAAUUACCCACUGUCUCUUUGGCUGCUAUAGGAUAUGAAAAAUUUUCGUGGAAAAAUAUAACGGAACUGCUUAAAACUGGGAUGCUCAUAAUUGGAAUUUACUAUUGCAGAAAAAUAUACAAGAAACUGGAUGACCUUCAGAAAAAAAUUGAAUAUUCUCUGGAUAAAACAGAGGAGCUUUCAGCCAUUGUCGGUGAUCUUCGGAAAAGACUUGAUAAGGGGGAACAGGAUAAAUAUAAGAUUAAACAGGAAAAAGGCAAGUCAAAAAUUGUUUUGUUUUGUUUUGUUUUGUUUUUUUGCCUGUUCUUAGUUGUUUCAUCUCUCACUUGCACCUUGAAAAAAAGCUGUCACUUUAUCUUACCUAAAUUCCAUCUUUUCCCAUUCUUACCUUUUAUCCACAGCAAUCUUCCCCUAAAACACUGGCCUCUUUUCAAUUGUUUUUCUCUUCUUUAUUUUUCACCCUCAGAUAAUAUUGCACAGGGAAAAGGCAAGUUAAUUUUUUUUUUUUUGCCUGUUCUUAGCUCUUGUUUCAUCUGUUACUUGCACCUUAAAAAGAAAGCUGUCAUUUUAUGUUACCUAAAUUCCAUCUUUUCCCUUUCUUACCUUUAUCCAUUCCAACCUUCCCCUAAAACAUUGGCUUCUUGUCAAUUGUUUUUCUCUUUCUUUUCUUCCUCAGAUAAUAUUGCACUGGAAAAAGGCAAGUCAAUUUUUUUUCACCUGUUCUUAUUUUAUCUGUUACUUGCACCUUAA
RNAcentral lists this long non-coding RNA (837 nucleotides) under Ovis aries (sheep). RNAcentral describes it as "lncRNA (ENSOARG00000026866.1)". Lineage: Eukaryota; Metazoa; Chordata; Mammalia; Artiodactyla; Bovidae. The record is from RNAcentral.